AACGAACGCUGGCGGCAUGCCUAACACAUGCAAGUCGAACGCUAUUUAUAGAGUGGCGCACGGGUGAGUAACGCGUGGGAACCUGCCUUUUUCUGCGGGAUAACGGUUGGAAACGACCGCUAAUACCGCAUACGCCCUACGGGGGAAAGGUCCGCCGCAGAGGGAGGUGCCCGCGUCCGAUUAGCUUGUUGGUGAGGUAAGAGCUCACCAAGGCGACGAUCGGUAGCUGGUCUGAGAGGAUGAUCAGCCACACUGGGACUGAGACACGGCCCAGACUCCUACGGGAGGCAGCAGUGGGGAAUAUUGGACAAUGGGGGCAACCCUGAUCCAGCAAUGCCGCGUGUGUGAUGAAGGCCUUAGGGUUGUAAAGCACUUUCACUGGUGAAGAUGAUGACGGUAGCCAGAGAAGAAGCCCCGGCUAACUUCGUG
Molecule: ribosomal RNA, 429 nt
Filed under: uncultured bacterium
Lineage: Bacteria
Description: bacterial SSU rRNA
Rfam family: Bacterial small subunit ribosomal RNA
Source: RNAcentral